GUUCUCCGUCCUUGAAAGUGUGGCAAGUAAUGGGCUAAUCGGAUUAGAUCAUUAGGUACAGACCAAUCAGAAGCAAAUGCUCAUUUUUAGAAGUACUGUAUUAGUUGCUGUAUGUUGGCUUCAUACACAGUUUACAUACUACAGAAUUUAUCAGCACUAUCAAAUAAAUGGUUUUCAAUCCAUUGAAAGGAAGUCAUGUUUGUUGCAAUAUAUUGUUCGUGGUAGACACUGGGAAAAAACCAACUAUUGAAUGUGUAUUUAUUUGUCUCCGGGUACAAAACUGAUGGAAGAGCAGCCAUGAUGAAGCAGUAAAAAGGUUCUUGGAUACCUUGCUUCAAUACCUCUGGUUGGACAAGAAAAGACCUGG
Molecule: long non-coding RNA, 367 nt
Organism: Anneissia japonica
Lineage: Eukaryota; Metazoa; Echinodermata; Crinoidea; Comatulida; Comatulidae
Exons: 3
Source: RefSeq, a predicted model, not a curated record